RNAcentral lists this ribosomal RNA (921 nucleotides) under uncultured bacterium. RNAcentral's name for it is "bacterial SSU rRNA". It matches the Rfam family "Bacterial small subunit ribosomal RNA", at positions 8 to 914 of the family's 1533-position model. The record is from RNAcentral.
AGAGUUUGAUCCUGGCUCAGGAUGAACGCUAGCGACAGGCUUAACACAUGCAAGUCGAGGGGCAGCGGGGAAGUAAGCUUGCUUACUUCCGCCGGCGACCGGCGCACGGGUGAGUAACACGUAUGCAACCUGGCCGUCACAGAGGGAUAACCGGGAGAAAUCCCGCCUAAUACCGCAUAACACCGGGGAAGGACAUCCUUCCCCGGUCAAAGGAGAGAUCCGGUGACGGAUGGGCAUGCGCCGCAUUAGUUAGUUGGCGGUGUAACGGACCACCAAGACGACGAUGCGUAGGGGUUCUGAGAGGAAGGUCCCCCACACUGGUACUGAGACACGGACCAGACUCCUACGGGAGGCAGCAGUGAGGAAUAUUGGUCAAUGGGCGAGAGCCUGAACCAGCCAAGUCGCGUGAGGGAAGACGGUCCUAUGGAUUGUAAACCUCUUUUGCCGGGGAGCAAAGAGCGGCACGUGUGCCGCGCCGAGAGUACCCGGAGAAAAAGCAUCGGCUAACUCCGUGCCAGCAGCCGCGGUAAUACGGAGGAUGCGAGCGUUAUCCGGAUUUAUUGGGUUUAAAGGGUGCGCAGGCGGCGCGUUAAGUCAGCGGUAAAAUUUCGGGGCUCAACCCCGACGAGCCGUUGAAACUGGCGUGCUAGAGUGGGCGAGAAGUAUGCGGAAUGCGUGGUGUAGCGGUGAAAUGCAUAGAUAUCACGCAGAACUCCGAUUGCGAAGGCAGCAUACCGGCGCCCAACUGACGCUCAUGCACGAAAGCGUGGGUAUCGAACAGGAUUAGAUACCCUGGUAGUCCACGCAGUAAACGAUGAGCACUAAUUGUCCGGAGCGAUUGAGCUCUGGGUGAUACAGCGAAAGCGUUAAGUGCUCCACCUGGGGAGUACGCCGGCAACGGUGAAACUCAAAGGAAUUGAC